This 449-nucleotide ribosomal RNA is filed under the name uncultured bacterium. Its description in RNAcentral is "bacterial SSU rRNA". It matches the Rfam family "Bacterial small subunit ribosomal RNA", at positions 28 to 458 of the family's 1533-position model. The record is from RNAcentral.
GACGAACGCUGGCGGCGUGCCUAACACAUGCAAGUCGAACGGAACUUCUUUAAAGGAUUUCUUCGGAAUGAAUUUGAUUAAGUUUAGUGGCGGACGGGUGAGUAACGCGUGAGUAACCUGCCUCUAAGAGGGGAAUAACAUUCUGAAAAGAAUGCUAAUACCGCAUAAUAUAUAUUUAUCGCAUGGUAGAUAUAUCAAAGAUUUAUCGCUUAGAGAUGGACUCGCGUCCGAUUAGUUAGUUGGUGAGGUAACGGCUCACCAAGACCGCGAUCGGUAGCCGGACUGAGAGGUUGAACGGCCACAUUGGGACUGAGACACGGCCCAGACUCCUACGGGAGGCAGCAGUGGGGGAUAUUGCGCAAUGGGGGAAACCCUGACGCAGCAACGCCGCGUGAAGGAUGAAGGUCUUCGGAUUGUAAACUUCUUUUAUUAAGGACGAAGAAAGUGAC